Choloepus didactylus (southern two-toed sloth) is the source of this 1987-nucleotide long non-coding RNA. RefSeq lists it as uncharacterized. The transcript is spliced from 3 exons. Lineage: Eukaryota; Metazoa; Chordata; Mammalia; Pilosa; Megalonychidae. The record is from RefSeq and is a predicted model, not a curated record.
UUCUUAAGUUUAGUCAAAUUUAUCAGUCUACCUUUAUGGUUUGGGCUUUUUGCAUUUGGUUUAAACAAAAUCAGGGAAAACCCUUUCCUACACUGGGCCUAUUACAAUAGUCUCUGUUUUCUUUUUAAAGUUUUAAAAUUUUGGUUUUUCAUAUUUAAGACAGUCCACUUGGAGAUUUGUUUCUUUUUGUUCUAGGAAUCUAAUUUUUAAUAUCUGCCCCUAUGGCUAACCAGUUCCUGCGAUAACUAAUCAUUCAUGUAAUAGUUCACCCUUUCCCUGCUCAUUUUUUAUGUUUCUGUUACAUACACGUAAAUCUGGGGGCCUUCUGGCCCAUUAGUCUCUGUCUUCCCUGUGCCAAUAAUACAGGGUCUUGUUACUUUGGAAGUCUUGAUAGUUGAGGUGCCAAGCCCCCACUAUUUUCUUCUUUCACAAGUGUCUUGGUUAUUCUCGGCCCUUUGCUUUUCCACACGAGCUUAGGAUUGUCAGUGGAAUCUUCUUGGAAAUUGUGAUCGAGUAAUCAAAGCCAUGAAAGUUAAUCUAAUAUUAUUUCUUUAUCAUUAUUAAGAAUGAUUUUAAUAAUAGGAGAGAAUUGCUUAUAUUCAAAGGUCUUCUGAGGGAUAGAUGGAAAAUACAUUUGUAUAUAUUAAUUCAGAGCCAGAGAAAUGUACAUUCUAACCAAUUAUGUGGGCACUGGGGCCUCUGUGGGUAGUUUUCUGUGUGUCCAUACGGCCACUGUCUGCUUGAAGUUACGGAAUCACAGACAUGACCAGAAAGAGGCUUCGGUGAGGUUCCUCAGGGUUGCUAACAAAAAUCCAUUCAUGAUUCCAGCCCAAAUUUCUGCUCCUUUUAAAAGCCUGCUUAGAAGGCAACCAAAAAAUUUCUACCAGAAGCUGUAAAACAUCCAUAAUAUGGCUGGAUCCUACUUUCUAGAAUCACCCUUUUAUUGAUUGACAUUUAUGUUGUCUCCAACGCUGCAAUGAAUAACCUUACUUCAAUGACUAAUCAUAUACACAGGGAAUUUGCCCAAAGGCCUCCCGUGACGGCAGUGAAGGAGACAGACCGGGUGCUGUGGUUGAGAAGGAUGGGGAAGAGGGCUAAGAGGCCACCCCAGAUGGUGAUGCUGAUGUGUCCUGGAGGAUGCAAAGAACUCUGGAACUCAUAAAGAAGUGCAAGAAGUGGGGGGAAGGUUGAAGUAGUCUCGGAACCCCGACAUGGUUGGAGUGCAAUGUCUGAGAAAUAGAGCAGCAUUGGCUGAGGCUGGAGAUGCAAGCAGUGGCCGGAUGGAGCAGAAGGGACAGACUGUGCAGCCCAAGUCGCUGCAGGCUCACAUGCAUUCCACUCUUCCGCCAAAGACACCAUCAGGGAUGCCCUCCCACUCUGGCUGGCCCUUGACCGUUGCGUUCCAGACCCACAGGCCAGGCCUGCUUCCACGUCAGACUCUUGUUACUUCUUGUUUCCUCUACCUGGAGGGCCUUUCCCAGAUAUCCAUUAGGUGCUCAACCUGGCUUCAUUUAGGUUUUUACUCCGUGUCACUUUCUAGUGAGCCCUUUUCUGGCCAGCUCACCUAAAAUUGCAAAUCUGUCUCUCCUUCGCCAACAUUUCCUAUUGCCGAUGACUAUUUUCCCCUCAACGCUUAUUGCUAACAUCCUGUGUACUUUAUUUUCUCUUGUUUAUUGUCUCCUCUCUAGCCAGAAUACGAGGCCCAUGAGGACUAGGAUUUUUUAUCCAUUUGGUUCACUGCUGUGUCCCUAGCACCAAGGAUAGGGAUGGCAUACAGUAGGUGCUAAAUUAAUAUUUAAUGAAUGACUGAAUCUUCACAGCAGCCUCAUGAGUGAUAACAAGAGACUAGAAAUGAUUGAGUGUCCAACAAUAAAGGAAUAAUUACAUACAUUUUUGUGUGAUAAUAUGUAGUUUUAAAAGGCUCAUAUGUAGUAGAUAUAAAUAGACAUGAAAAGCUGUCCAUUUUAUGUUAAAUGGUAAAGGAAAG